Camelina sativa (false flax) is the source of this 628-nucleotide non-coding RNA. NCBI's taxonomy places the organism in Eukaryota, Viridiplantae, Streptophyta, Magnoliopsida, Brassicales, Brassicaceae. The record is from RefSeq and is a predicted model, not a curated record.
GAUCCAGACAGAGAAUCGAAGGCGAUUCAGAAAAAUCAAUCCAUAGUUCCAGACCCAAUUCAUCUUCAAGAUUUGUAAUUUAUUCCUUCAAAUUCUUCACCGGAAUAUCCAAUUUUGCGAAUCUGAGUAAUGGGUUUUCUCUAAAAUCCCCGAUUAAUCAUGGGUUCCUCUUCAAGUCUCGUCCUUUCAGUGUUUAAGCUGCUGCUGAGAAGACAAUUCACAAUUUCACUGUUAAGGACAUUGAUGGGAUGAUGUUGCUUUGAACAAAUUCAAGGGGAAAGUUAUGUUGAUCGUCAAUGUCGCUUCAAGAUGUGGUCUCACAUCAUCAAAUUACUCAUCAGAGCUAUCACAUCUGUAUGAAAAAUACAAGAGCCAAGGUGAGCUCUAAUUCUAUAGAUCCGUGUAUCUAUCAUUCUUUGUGUCAAUCAAUAUGUUUCGUUCCUAUUCUUGCUACUGUCAUUCCUUGUAUAGAAACUUUUUGCUGCAUUUGGUCUGACAUUUACUUGAAUGUGCAGGUUUCUAAAAUACUUUCAUGACUAGCAAUUCAUCUAGUGUCUUGUCUUUUUUUUUGGGUCCAUUACUAGUUUUCUCCAUGAGUCUUUCUCUCUUUGCCUCUAUGAUCUAGUUC